CUACGGGUUGCACCAGUGAGGAAUAUUGGUCAAUGGGCGCGAGCCUGAACCAGCCAUCCCGCGUGCAGGAUGACGGCCCUAUGGGUUGUAAACUGCUUUUCUAUGCCAAGAAACCUGAUUACGUGUAAUCAGUUGCCGGUAGCAUAGGAAUAAGCAUCGGCUAACUCCGUGCCAGCAGCCGCGGUAAUACGGAGGAUGCAAGCGUUAUCCGGAUUCAUUGGGUUUAAAGGGUGCGCAGGUGGGCUUGUAAGUCAGUGGUGAAAUGCUGCCGCUUAACGGUAGAACUGCCAUUGAUACUGCGAGUCUUGAGUAUGGUUGAGGUAGGCGGAAUGUGUUAUGUAGCGGUGAAAUGCAUAGAUAUGACACAGAACGCCAAUUGCGAAGGCAGCUUACUAAGCCAUUACUGACGCUGAGGCACGAAAGCGUGGGGAGCGAACAGGAUUAAAUACCCCUGUAGUC
This 459-nucleotide ribosomal RNA is filed under the name uncultured bacterium. Its description in RNAcentral is "partial 16S ribosomal RNA". It matches the Rfam family "Bacterial small subunit ribosomal RNA", at positions 339 to 795 of the family's 1533-position model. The record is from RNAcentral.